GCUGUUUUCUGUUUUGUACCAUGGUCCAUCCAAGAAAAUGGGACAAAUCUCUAGCGAUCUAAGCUCCAUGGCCUCAUUCAUCGAACUUUAGCUCAAUACUUCAAUAUAAACCAUUAUAAGUUUAUGUAGAGUUAUAAGGACAAUUGAGGAUACAUAUACUUCAAGAAUCCCUUUUUUUUUGUUGUUGUCAAAAAUACUUCAAGAAUCCCUAUUUAGAAAAAUCUUAACUAAGAACUAACUUUUGCUUCUCUUAAUAAAAUAAAAUAAAAUCGGCCAUCUUAAUUCUUAACACCCCUCUUAAUAGUGCUGGUUAUCUAUAGAUGGGGUAAAUGACAUGAUUCGGCCCCUCCAAAAAGAAAAAUUAAAAAACAAAAUGGCAUGAUUAAAAGAAUUGGAUUAUCUAUCUCUAUACAGGCAGUUACCCUGAGUACAAGUAAGUACUGAGCGCGGGAAGAAGAGAGAAAUCAGAUCAGUAAAAUAUAAGGGAUGUAGUUAGUAUCCAUAGUGAAUUCAAUAUCGAAUGUCCUACGCACCUAUUUUGGG
Molecule: long non-coding RNA, 543 nt
Organism: Arabidopsis thaliana (thale cress)
Lineage: Eukaryota; Viridiplantae; Streptophyta; Magnoliopsida; Brassicales; Brassicaceae
Product: other RNA
Exons: 2
Source: RefSeq